Gavialis gangeticus (Gharial) is the source of this 135-nucleotide long non-coding RNA. RefSeq lists it as uncharacterized. NCBI's taxonomy places the organism in Eukaryota, Metazoa, Chordata, Crocodylia, Gavialidae. The record is from RefSeq and is a predicted model, not a curated record. The transcript has 4 exons.
CAAUACUACAUAUGACCACCAACAAGCUUCCAGUUGGAGUGGAGCUAAACUACCAAAUGGAUGGCAAGCUGUUUAACUUCAGCUGAUUCCGAGCCAAAACCAAGACCACCCUGACCUCAAUCAUCCAGUUUCAGC